RNAcentral lists this transfer RNA (44 nucleotides) under Bigelowiella natans. RNAcentral describes it as "partial tRNA". Lineage: Eukaryota; Cercozoa; Chlorarachniophyceae. The record is from RNAcentral.
CGCCGGGUUUUGGGCCCAGAAACGCGGGUUCGAUUCCCGCUGGC